GGGGCUGAAAAGGUUUCUACAUAUUACUAUUUGGCACUAAGUUUUAUAAAUAUAUUUUUAUAUAAAGUAAAAAUAAAGUAAUAUAAUUUUUGAAUAAUUAAUUAAAUGCAAAACAUGAUAUUGUAGUUUUUUCAAAAAAAUUAUUAGUAGCUUAGUUUUUUUUGAAAUUAAAUUAUAUUUUUCACAAAUACAAUUUGACAUAUAUAGUUGAAUGCUCUUAAAGUACUUGAUAUUCUAUAUUGUUAUUCAAAAUAGCAAAAUGAAAAUAUAGUAUAAGAUAGUUAUUAUUAAGUAAAGUUUUAAAAUAGUGUAUCAAAUUUUUUAGUAUAAAUUUUAUAGUUUUAAUCAAUUAAUAAAUACUUUAUUUAUAAUAACCUUUUGUAUUAUAUUAAUAUGGACGUGAGUUCGAUUCUCACCAGCUCCA
Molecule: non-coding RNA, 424 nt
Filed under: Bostrychia moritziana
Lineage: Eukaryota; Rhodophyta; Florideophyceae; Ceramiales; Rhodomelaceae
Source: RNAcentral